GGGAAGAGUUACCCGGGCGAGGGAGGGGAACGGGCCGCAGGUUCAGUCCUAGCUGUGGUGUGGGUCUGGAAGAAUGCAAGAUCUUCUGGUCCCAGUUAGGAUGGUGAGCAGGGUCCUCGCUCCGAGGAAGAAUGCUGAGCGGGGUCUGGAAGAAUGCAGGGUGUCCUGGGCCAGUGGAGGAUGGUGAGCAAGGUCCUGGCUCUAGGGCGAGAUGAUGAGCUGGGUCAGAAGAGACGCGGGGUCCCUACUCCGGGGAUGAAUGCUGAACAGAAUAUGGAGGGACGCAGCGUCUCCACUCCGGGAUGGGAUGCUGAGCGGGGUGCCCAUUGCGGGGACGAGAUGCUGUACCAAGACAGGAGGGACACAGGGUCCCGUCGAGGGGGUCUGGUAUACCGAGCAGGAUGCUGAACGGGGUCUGCAGGAAGCAAGGUCAGAAUUCAGCAGAGAUCACGGUCGAGGUGGACUGAAGUAUCGAAGACUGGAUUGAAGAAGUAUCGAAGACGUGCAUGGGAGAACUAAGGGACCCGCAUAGGGGAGGGGUAUGUGAAAGGGGACCUUAGGGAGAAAGUCCUGACAGGAGAACACACUGGGUAAAACGGAAAGGCCUGGGCUGGAAGGCCUGCGCAGCAGCGGGAGGUAGAGUGCAUGAGUGCAUGACAAGGGACAGAAAGCCAGUGUGGAGGUACAUUUGCGAAUAAAGAGGGUGGAGAGACAACGGAGGUCUGACAGGAGAAGUAACAGUCUUUGCCCCCAGCCCCCCGUACACCGAGGAAGGAGGGGCUUAAAGAGGAAAAUAUGGGUUGGGGCAACCCUUCUCUGGCUUGUUCUGGAUGUUUUGUAGGCUGAGGCAACAGAGAAAGGCCCUUAGGCCACCCACAGACGACUUUUUAGGGACUGAUUUGUAGUUUUAUUGCUUCAAGUCACUCGGGCCAACCAAGGAGGAGGCCACCUCAUCCUUCCUGAAAAUACACAGGGAAUUUUCUGAGGGUCUGGUCAUAUAGCCAG
Molecule: long non-coding RNA, 1005 nt
Filed under: Cricetulus griseus (Chinese hamster)
Lineage: Eukaryota; Metazoa; Chordata; Mammalia; Rodentia; Cricetidae
Description: lncRNA (ENSCGRG00015037561.1)
Source: RNAcentral